GCCCGUUAACGGCCGCCCGGGGCCCGCAGGCCGCGCGGCCGCUGGGGGGGCGGGGAAGAGAAGAUGGCGCCGCUCGGGAGGAGCCGCGGCGGCUCCCGGGAGGAAGGAGCUCCCGCCAGCCGGAGAGCGGCUGUGCCCAGCCGCUGGCAGCGGCUCGCAGCCCGCCUCGGACGGCCCGGACGGCAAGCGAGGGGCUGUCCCGCCUUCCCGCCCCCUCCCCAGCUAAAGCGGGCACGGGCACUCGGCCAACAACCCCACUGUCCAGGCGACUAUUCAAGCAAGCUGGGACAGCGCCAGGAGAGAAAGGCUUACAGAGCAGGGCAGGCACAGGAAUAGCAGAAGGGGGGGGGGGGGGAAAAAGUGGGUUUUGGUUUUGUUUUCUUUUCUUUUUUCUCCAAGAUGAGGCACAGUGGAACACUGAUAACAGGAACAGUAUAUGGUUACAAAUGUUUCAGAUGUAGCAGUUUUGUUUUGUUUUGUUUUGUUUUUAGAGCUCUAGGAAACGGCAGUGAAGUGGGCAGGACGAGGGAGCUGUGACAGCACUGCAACAGCUCAUGUUAACCAGCUGCUCCCCUUGCCACUCCACUUGAACAGCAAGCCCCAAUACAGCUUCCACAAGAAGUCUGCACAUCGCAGCACUGGGACAGCUUCAAGGACAAAACAUCUGCCAUUCCCACUUCACAAAGGUUAUACGUAGAAGACAGACUCUGCUGAAUAACGAAGUUUAAAUUUCGAGUGUCUAAAUUCACCAAUGUCUAUGGCAUGAGAUCUUGCUACAAGGCACCAACCACCUUUAAGAAAAUUCUGACAAAACCUGGGUAAAUACUUACCAGAACAAGUUGACAAGUUGGCUCAAAACUCUGUAAU
Long non-coding RNA from Apus apus (common swift), 867 nucleotides. RefSeq lists it as uncharacterized. The record is from RefSeq and is a predicted model, not a curated record. The transcript has 3 exons. NCBI's taxonomy places the organism in Eukaryota, Metazoa, Chordata, Aves, Apodiformes, Apodidae.